Molecule: ribosomal RNA, 292 nt
Filed under: uncultured bacterium
Lineage: Bacteria
Description: partial 16S ribosomal RNA
Rfam family: Bacterial small subunit ribosomal RNA
Source: RNAcentral
GUGCCAGCAGCCGCGGUAAUACGGAGGGUGCGAGCGUUGUCCGGAAUCACUGGGCGUAAAGGGCGCGUAGGCGGUGGGGUAAGCGUGUGGUGAAAGUCCGGGGCUCAACCCCGGAUCGGCCGUGCGAACUGCUUCACUUGAGCACUGUAGAGGCAGGUGGAAUUCCGGGUGUAGCGGUGGAAUGCGUAGAGAUCCGGAAGAACACCGGUGGCGAAGGCGGCCUGCUGGGCAGUGGCUGACGCUGAGGCGCGACAGCGUGGGGAGCAAACAGGAUUAGAUACCCUGGUAGUCC